RNAcentral lists this transfer-messenger RNA (353 nucleotides) under Actinomycetota (actinobacteria). RNAcentral describes it as "Halolacustris sp022396035 Standard tmRNA". It matches the Rfam family "transfer-messenger RNA". Rfam says of the family: Bacterial tmRNA, also known as 10Sa RNA or SsrA, is named for its dual tRNA and mRNA-like properties. Its role is to liberate the mRNA from a stalled ribosome. To accomplish this part of the tmRNA is used as a reading frame that ends in a translation stop signal. The record is from RNAcentral. RNAcentral also lists the same sequence under 1 other name. Lineage: Bacteria; Bacillati.
GGGGGCGAAUUGGAUUCGACGGGGAUAGGUUGAGCUUGGAUGGCAAGCCGAGUAUCAGAACUCGUAAAAAGCUGAAACUAAACAUAAAUGCUGACGAUUCACAGUUAGCUUUAGCGGCGUAGUUUAACGUUGCUCGUCUACGGGAGGUUUCCUGUGCUUUUCGAUAGGCGACGUUUAGCAGGAUACCCGGUUAUACCUUGUCCGCAGGUAUAGCAGGGGAAAUUUAUGCGGGAUAGCUUUUAUGGAUGGUGCCCUUACCAGACAUGACAGCGAAAUUAAAAUAAGGGAUAAGCUUGUAGAAGUUUAAGUGGCAAUAUCUUCGGACGCGGGUUCGAUUCCCGCCGCCUCCACCA